GUGGGGAAUAUUGCGCAAUGGGCGGAAGCCUGACGCAGCAACGCCGCGUGGGGGAACGAAGGCCUUAGGGUUGUAAACCUCUUUCAGCAGGGACGAAGCGGAAGUGACGGUACCUGCAGAAGAAGCACCGGCUAACUACGUGCCAGCAGCCGCGGUAAUACGUAGGGUGCGAGCGUUGUCCGGAUUUAUUGGGCGUAAAGGGCUCGUAGGCGGUCCGUCACGUCGGAAGUGAAACCCCGGGGCUUAACUCCGGGCCUGCUUUCGAUACGGGCGGACUUGAGUUCGGUAGGGGAGACCGGAAUUCCUGGUGUAGCGGUGGAAUGCGCAGAUAUCAGGAGGAACACCGAUGGCGAAGGCAGGUCUCUGGGCCGAUACUGACGCUGAGGAGCGAAAGCGUGGGGAGCGAACAGGAUUAGAAACCCUAGUAGUCC
Molecule: ribosomal RNA, 431 nt
Filed under: uncultured bacterium
Lineage: Bacteria
Description: bacterial SSU rRNA
Rfam family: Bacterial small subunit ribosomal RNA
Source: RNAcentral